Molecule: non-coding RNA, 231 nt
Organism: Vicia faba (fava bean)
Lineage: Eukaryota; Viridiplantae; Streptophyta; Magnoliopsida; Fabales; Fabaceae
Source: the annotation of a GenBank genome assembly
AUGAUCUCAUGGCGAAGCCUUAGGGGAAAUGAUCAGGGAGGUUUGCUCUAUGCAGUGGCAUCAAGAUAUUGGAGAAACGAAAAAGCCAUCACUUACCUCACGGUGGUGAUAGAGACAGAGAUGUGUUCGAUGAAAGUUUCAAUGUUCAGGUUUUCUUUUGGUAUGAAACAUGGACCGAGGCUUGGACAUAACCAGGUUGGAAUGGGGCAAUCUUGGAAGAUAGUGGCUUGA